Molecule: ribosomal RNA, 449 nt
Filed under: uncultured bacterium
Lineage: Bacteria
Description: partial 16S ribosomal RNA
Rfam family: Bacterial small subunit ribosomal RNA
Source: RNAcentral
AACGAACGCUGGCGGCAGGCUUAACACAUGCAAGUCGAACGCAUCCUUCGGGGUGAGUGGCAGACGGGUGAGUAACGCGUGGGAACGUGCCCUUCAGUUCGGAAUAACCCAGGGAAACUUGGGCUAAUACCGGAUACGUGCGAGAGCAGAAAGAUUUAUCGCUGAAGGAUCGGCCCGCGUCUGAUUAGCUAGUUGGUGGGGUAAUGGCCCACCAAGGCGACGAUCAGUAGCUGGUCUGAGAGGCUGAUCAGCCACAUUGGGACUGAGACACGGCCCAAACUCCUACGGGAGGCAGCAGUAGGGAAUAUUGGACAAUGGGCGCAAGCCUGAUCCAGCCAUGCCGCGUGAGUGAUGACGGCCUUAGGGUUGUAAAGCUCUUUCGUCCGGGACGAUAAUGACGGUACCGGAAGAAGAAGCCCCGGCUAACUUCGUGCCAGCCGCCGCAGUAA